GUAGCGCUUAAUAUUUUUACAAUGAAAUUUUUAGUAAGAUCAAAUUGUUAUAUUAGUCGUUAAUCUUUUUAUCAUUGAAAAAUCUGGUAAUGUGAUGAUUUAUAUUGCACUAUAUCUUUGCAAGAAAAGAGAACAAUUAGCAACUUGGCGUAGUUUAUUACUCAAGCCAGUGCGGAUCCACCACUUUUGCCUAUGCAUUUUUCUCAAAGUCAACCAAGAAAGGAUAAGACUAGUUUAUUCUUAAUGUGAGGACAUGAUGGACACAAACACUCUUGUCCCGAUGAACACAAGUUUUGAAAUUUUUAGAUUAUAUUGUACGGGUCACAACUUCGUUCGUGGCCUGCACCUCCAUCCAUUGUUGAAAGGUCUCUGCGGUGCACUUGCCUGGAUUUGAUAAAGAAGUAAGGUAUGUUGAAACACAAGCCGUAGUUUUCACACUUAGUUUCUAAAUACAUAUUGCUCAACAUGUAUAUAUUUUAUAUCCUCCACUUUUAUUUCUUAGGCUAGCUCAACACGCCCAUUUAUGCACUAAUUUUGUUCUUUUCAACGCACACAACUCUGUCAUAUCCAUGACUAUAAAACGUGUCUAGCACGUACUCCAGUAAGGUACAGCGGUAAUUUUUCAUUAGUUAUAACAUAUAUAAAUAUAGGUACUACUCCCUCCGUCCC
RNAcentral lists this long non-coding RNA (669 nucleotides) under Setaria viridis. Its description in RNAcentral is "long non-coding RNA (SVIR_LNC009592)". The record is from RNAcentral. Lineage: Eukaryota; Viridiplantae; Streptophyta; Magnoliopsida; Poales; Poaceae.